Molecule: ribosomal RNA, 363 nt
Filed under: uncultured Limnohabitans sp.
Lineage: Bacteria; Pseudomonadati; Pseudomonadota; Betaproteobacteria; Burkholderiales; Comamonadaceae
Description: bacterial SSU rRNA
Rfam family: Bacterial small subunit ribosomal RNA
Source: RNAcentral
GAAGAACCUUACCCACCUUUGACAUGUACGGAAGUCGCUAGAGAUAGCUUCGUGCUCGAAAGAGAGCCGUAACACAGGUGCUGCAUGGCUGUCGUCAGCUCGUGUCGUGAGAUGUUGGGUUAAGUCCCGCAACGAGCGCAACCCUUGUCAUUAGUUGCUACAUUCAGUUGGGCACUCUAAUGAGACUGCCGGUGACAAACCGGAGGAAGGUGGGGAUGACGUCAAGUCCUCAUGGCCCUUAUAGGUGGGGCUACACACGUCAUACAAUGGCUGGUACAAAGGGUUGCCAACCCGCGAGGGGGAGCUAAUCCCAUAAAACCAGUCGUAGUCCGGAUCGCAGUCUGCAACUCGACUGCGUGAAGU